This is a non-coding RNA of Cucurbita pepo subsp. pepo (vegetable marrow), 2297 nucleotides long. The record is from RefSeq and is a predicted model, not a curated record. Lineage: Eukaryota; Viridiplantae; Streptophyta; Magnoliopsida; Cucurbitales; Cucurbitaceae.
GAUUCGUUUCUUCGCCCUUCUUUCUCUUUGCGUAUCUCUGCAAUUUCGUAUUCUUUUUGUCGAUCUAAUUUCUCCGGCGACAUCAAGGGCUGAGAAUGGAAGCUCAUGGCAGCGGAUUACGCCGCGUGCUCGUGCUCGCCUUUUGCGUCGCCGGGAUUUGGUCUGCUUACAUUUAUCAAGGUGUUCUUCAGGAGACUCUGUCUACUAAGCGCUUUGGUUCCGACGGAAAGAGAUUUGAACACCUUUCCUUCCUUAACUUGGCACAAAACGUUGUCUGUUUAAUAUGGUCAUAUAUAAUGAUAAAGCUCUGGUCCAGUCGUAGCACUGUUGGUGCACCUUGGUGGACUUACUGGAGUGCUGGUAUUACGAAUACGAUUGGACCAGCUAUGGGGAUUGAAGCUUUGAAGUACAUAAGUUAUCCUGCCCAGGUCCUGGCAAAGUCAUCAAAAAUGAUUCCAGUGAUGCUGAUGGGAACGCUAAUUUAUGGUAUUAAGUACACACUUCCGGAGUAUCUUUGUACAUUUUUAGUUGCUGGAGGAGUGUCUACAUUUGCACUCUUAAAGACUAGCUCAAAGACUAUUAGCAAGUUGGCACAUCCCAAUGCACCACUUGGAUAUGGACUCUGCUUCCUGAACCUUGCAUUUGAUGGUUUCACGAAUGCCACUCAAGAUUCCAUUUCAACAAGGUACCCAAAAACAAGUGCAUGGGACAUAAUGUUGGGAAUGAAUCUUUGGGGUACAAUAUAUAACAUGAUUUAUAUGUUUGGGUGGCCGAAUGGCACUGGAUAUCAUGCCAUAGAAUUCUGUAGACAGCAUCCCGAGGCAGCGUGGGACAUUCUUCUGUAUUGUCUCUGUGGAGCAGUAGGCCAAAAUUUUAUCUUCCUAACAAUAAGUCGAUUCGGUUCCCUUGCUAAUACCACCAUUACCACAACUCGCAAGUUUGUCAGCAUCGUGGUGUCCUCUAUGCUCAGUGGAAAUCCCCUGUCAUCGAAGCAGUGGGGCUGCGUUGUAAUGGUCUUCUCUGGGCUAUCAUAUCAAAUCUACCUCAAGUGGAGGAAGCUGCAAAAGUUGCAGAGAAAGAGAAAGACCACCUAACUAGGAAUUACAGUGUAAGCAAAGUUCAAUGGUCCUUGAAUUAGAGGGGCAUCAUGUUUUAUAGAGCGCAUUGGAAGUCAUAUGAACAAAGUUUUGACUCUCCCUUUUCUUUUACUUUUGUAUAAUCAGGCCUUGGAGGUGACCAGUGGAAGUCCCCUCCUCGAACCUAUAACUGAUUUUUCUUUUUUUUUCUAAGAGAAUGAAUUACUAGAAUCUUGAAAAGUGCUAAAUUGUUGAAAUCUUGUUGUGUUUCAUCGAUUUCUAGCUUCAGAUGGUUGAAUUAAGGUUAACACUUACAUGAAUUCAAUCAAUUAUCAUGGAUAAACGAAGGUGAGCGAGAAACGUUGAUGAUCCUUCCACUUUUCUGGAAACAAAAAUUCAAAUAUUGGCCUUGUUCCUCGAGAAAGUUGAUAGCAAUAAGUGGGCCUUUAUUUUGUAGGGAGUUCCCUCCUCUUUUACUUUCCACUUUUUGACUUUCCUCAUAACUAUACUUUGUCCUCUACCGCGACUGGCGGCCACCACCACCACCUCAAUUUAACACACCCUUCUCCCUCUGAGCUUCAAUUUUCAGUCUUUUUCAGCAGAGCCCGAGAACUGAGGGACAUUUGGAGAAGAGAAAGCAAGGUAGAGCGAUGAAUGCACACCAACAACAAAACACAUUCCAUUCAAAUCAUAUUUAUGUUUGUUACAUCAAAAAUCAGGUAUUCCAGCUGCCAAGGAUCUAAAAAUUGGAAUUACAUGCAUGGGGGAACUGAAUUCUGAGCUUGAAAAGGAAGAGCAUAUCAUGGGAAAAAUUAAUGGCAUCUAUAACCAAUGUCGGCUUUGAUCUAUUUUUUCCUCAACUGCUUGGGAUACUAUUGUUGAUCCAGUACUGUAUUCUGAACUGCCAGGAGACUCGUGGAGAUUGGGUUGUCUGCGAGCAGUGAAGUUGAUAAGGCCACAAAUAAUAAGUAGCUUCAAUCUGAAAAUUAUAGUAUGCAUGUUUUUGUUACCUCCAUUGGCUACCAUCAUUGCUACUCCUUAAAUCCUCCACUAAACCUUUAAUAUCUUCCACUUGAAAGUCGAUAUCCGGAGUUGCAUAUUUGGGUAUGUCAUUUUCUUUGCUUCGACGGAGGAAAUCUUGGAGAAUCUGAUUCAUAUUUAGUGGACUCAAGGAAUAAGAAAAACUACUAUAUGAAUGAAAAUAUCAGACAUCUUUGAGAA